This is a long non-coding RNA of Globicephala melas (long-finned pilot whale), 3683 nucleotides long. RefSeq lists it as uncharacterized. Lineage: Eukaryota; Metazoa; Chordata; Mammalia; Artiodactyla; Delphinidae. The record is from RefSeq and is a predicted model, not a curated record.
GGUGACGGCGGGGAACGGCCCGAUGGAGGCACGGAUGGCGCGGCCGCGCAGGCUUACUUGAGCAUGGCUUCUUCCUUCUCCUCCUCUUCUUUCUGCCGGUCCAUCACUGCCAUGAUGAUGUUCCUCUCCUCCUCGGUCAGGUGGCUCAGCUGGUGGUACAUUGUUACAGAAGCCCUAGAAAGCGGAUACAAUAUUUACGUGAGUUUGGAUCAAGUGCACCUUGCUGAGCCUUCUUUUGCUCAUCUAUAAAAUGGAAAUAACACUGUCUGCCCUCCACGGCUUUGGUAAGGUUGAAAGCUGGGCGCUGAGGCUAUGGGAGCGAAUGUCGAAUUUAAGGUAAUCGUCCUAUAGGGACUGGCCAAGUAUGGCGCAUGGGUCAAAUGCAGACCAAAGCCUGUUUUUGUGAAUAAAGUUUUAUUGGAGCACAGCCACAUCCAUUGAGCCAUGUAUUAUCUCUAGCUGCCUUCAUGCUACCAUGGUAGAGUGGAAGCCACAGAGACCAUAUGUCCAGUGAAGCCUAAAAUAUUUACUAUCUGCCUUGCUGCAGAAAAGGAUUUGUCCACCUCUGCCCCAGCUGCUAACAAUGCGGUUGGAAGAGAGAGGCAUAAGUAAACACACAAGAACAGCUGGACUUCGGUAAUUGUUCUAGAAAAUACCUUGCUGGAUAGAGUAGAGAGUAAACUGCUGGAAGUGGGCAGUCAUGGCGUCCUAAGCAGGGGUCCUGUGAGCAGAGAUAUGAAGAAGAAGAAGGAAUUCCUUAAGAAGGGCUGGGCACAGAGUGUUCCAAGGUGAGGAAGGGCAGUCGACACACGGCCCCAAGUCAGGAAGGGGCAGAGCCCUGGAGGAACAAGAGGUGGGCCAGGGAGGCGGGAUCCCUGGGAAGAGAGGAGAAAACGCGGGAGAUGAGCUCCUACAGGGAAUUUCUACUCCACGGAAUUAGCAAGUGACUCUGCUGUGAUGUCAGAAUUCUGUAUAACUCCAGUUAUAAUUAUUGAAGGGUUUUUAAUUUCUGGAAAAUAAAUGAAUUAGGAAUAUCUUCAACAUCAAUUGAGAAGCAGUCUUGCCUACCCACUGAACUGCAACAUUGAGUUUUGAUUUAAGUUAUCACCACCUCAUCCUAGAUAUUAUUCACAUCAUUGGCAUGGGCACCACCAUAAUCUGUUACACAAGAACAGUUUCUAUAUAAGGUGAUCAUGUGUCCCGGUUUAUCCAAGAUCAUCUGAGUCCAUGCUUCCUGUACUGGCAUUAUUAUCAACAGCAUCUUCUUUCACUUAAAAGUGUCCUAGUUUGUAUGACAAAUUAUAUGGUCACCCUAUUUACACAUAGUUAUAAUAAUUUGCAAAAAUGUCGUCUUUCUGGCUUCAAGGAACAUUGGGCUCUCAAAUGAUUUCACUCAAAGUAUUUGGCUGAAACUAGAUAUCAGAUUUUGGCUCAAAUUCAGCCAAAUACCUAUUUUAAUCUGAUUUUUGGUAACAUUCCACUGUUGUCAUUUAUUUUGUGAGGAACUGAGUGUCUGGGAAGGCCUUUGACCUUGGACUUAGAAGAAGGUACAUCAUUCUGUUCUCUCCAGAGGGGUUACAACAGCCUUGGACAUACUUCUUCCAAUGCUACAACAUAAGGAAAGACUAUAGUCUAAAGACAGUGAUCCUACUUCAAGGUCAAGGUCUGAUCUGGCCUCCUGUUGCCAAAUAUCCAAUCUUCCAGAAGCAGAGGCAAGUGUUGAGCCUCCAAAAUACCACCAUCUUUUGAGAAUAUCAACCAGCCACUUGGAUGAAAGUUGAUUGCGUUGAACUCUUUGCAUCCUGGAAUGGGCAGCUAUUCACCUGGAUGGAAUCAACACAUAUUCUGGUUAUGAGUUUGUCUUUCCUGCUCACCAAAGUCCAGCAAGUACACCAACAAAGAGCUUAUAGAGUUUCUGAACCACUGACACAGGAUCCCACAUACAUCCAAAUAGACUAAGAUAUCCACUUUAUAGCAAAGGGAAUGGGCACAUGGUCUUAGGAUCUACUGGUCCUAUUACAUACUGUACCACCCCUGAAUUACUGCCCUCAUAGAAUAGAAUAAAAGAAGAGUCAUUUGUAUGUGCUUCUAAGGCUCCAAUGUGGAAAUAAUUCUGUAGAGAAUAGAGUGCAAUAUUCCAAAGUGCAAUAUGCACCCUAAAAUCAAUGACCAUAAUAUCAUACAGUAUCUCUGGUAAUCAGAAUAAGUCUAGGCAUCAAGAGGUUGAAGUGACCCCCCUACACCAUCAUUUCUAGUGGCCCCUAUGGAGAAUUUGUGCCUCCUGUCCCCCCAUGUUUAGGCUCUGCAGGUCUAGAGGUUCACAGAGAAGGAAUAUUUCCUCUCAGGGACACAGAAAUAUUCCCAUUAAACUUUAAGCUAUGGGUACCUCUUGGUCACUUCCAACUCUUUGUGCCAAGAAACCAGCAAUAAAAGGAGUCUAUGCUGGGAGACAUCACUGGCUCUGGUCAUAAGCAGGAAGCUACACAAUGGGGGUCAGGGAACAUAGUGACAUUUUUGACACUAAAAUGAUGUGCUGGAAUGUCUCCUGGGACUCUCCUGUCCUUUUUAAUGGAAAAUUGAAAAGAUCUCUAGCUAAAGCCUGAGAAAAGUAUGGUGAUCAAGAGACCAGAACUUUUAGGGAUAAUGGUCUAAGUCAUCCUACCAGAUCAGCUACUAGACAAGUAAAGGUGCUCACCAAGGAUGCUGUGAACUGAGUGGUGGAAGAAGGAGGAGGUGAGUAUCAUUUAUAGCCUCUAGACCACUAACCUUACUCUUGUAACCUUAGUCUUGUAGACUAACCAGGAUGUUAGUUACCAAGUGGAAUAAACACACUAUCAAAGCAAGUGGAUUCAAGCAGAAAAAGACGUAGACUGGAGUGGAUUCCAGGGUGUCCUCCUAGGUCUCACAUUUGGACUGAGGCAUGCAUUUCCCAUCUGCUGGGAGUAUUGGCUGUUGAUGGCUCACAGAGUCAUCUCUCUCUUGGAAUUGCCACUGACCUAAGGAAUCUGCCUCACGCAAGUUCACACCAUCUCCUUGGGGGAGCUCACAUCCAAUAACUGUCCAAUGUAGGCAUUCAAGGGUCUGAUCCUCUUGCUUCCACUGGUGACAUUUCUGAAGGGACUUCUUAGUUUUGGAGUUCCUGGUGGACCUCGACUGAAAACUCUGUUCCAGCUCCCUCCCUUUGCAUGCUGUCCAGUCCUCCUUCCUAUGUUCUCUCCCAGUGUUGAUCCCAAGAACACUUCAUAACAAACUCUUUCUGCACAAAAAUAUCAGAUCCACAGUCUGCUUCCUGGGGUACCUGGUCUGGAACCCAUGUGCAUCACAAUCCCAAAGUCUCAUGCCCAUUCACUCCCAUCAGCCUCUCCAGUCUCUGGAUCCCCCCACCUCCCCAGGAGGCCCAUCUACUCCUCCUUUUGUGGAUGGAAUGACGGCCGACCAGCCUUGGCUCCAGGAUCUUUUGCUCGGAUGAAACCCUCACUUAUAGGCUACUUUGCCCCUUUUCCUCCUACAGUGUUGACUGUGUAUGUCCAACCCUGGUUAACUUUGACUUUCUUUAGCAGGAUAUUGAAUGAGGAACUUUUCUGGUUGGACGGGCCUAUCGCAUGACAUUGGUGGCUGCACCCUCCUUCCACAGCCCAUCUUCCUGGCCUUCCAUGACAUUAAACAGUUUUGGAGCUCUUUCA